Apus apus (common swift) is the source of this 1284-nucleotide long non-coding RNA. RefSeq lists it as uncharacterized. NCBI's taxonomy places the organism in Eukaryota, Metazoa, Chordata, Aves, Apodiformes, Apodidae. The transcript is spliced from 4 exons. The record is from RefSeq and is a predicted model, not a curated record.
CCGGAGCUGCCCCCGCCUCGCCUCCCGGGCCGGGCCGGGCUGGAGGGGCGUAGCGCCCGGGGGUGUCGGCAGGCCCCGGCCGCCCUCUGGCCGGAGGGGCUGGGCGGGCCUGCCCUGCCCUGCCGGCGCUUGGCAGCUGCUUUCACGUGGAGCCGGGCAGCCUCCGUUUGCUGAGGACUCUCUUUCAACUUGUGGCUGGAUUUUGAAGGCUUGGAGAGUUCCCCACUCCACCAUCUGCCUUUGGAAGCGGUAAUUAAGCUGCAAAAACUAAAGGCCUGACACUGACAUGGCACAGUCUCAGUGGUUUUGACAGAUGGACAUGGGAAGGAGCCAACUGAGAGAAUUGUGGGGUGCCUGUGUGAAACACUGCUGCAGGGGGCUGUGACAGAAGGGACAAAAAACCCCCUCAGCUGCUGCUGGGAGGCAGUGGGCGACAACAGAAAGGUGCAGACAGCAGAAAAGCUUUUCAGAGAGUUCCUCCUGUUAUGUGAAGAAUCACCUCCUUGAGAAAACUGUGUGCACAUGAUUUCUAGCUGCCUUCCCACGUGUAGUGUGAUCCAUUUUGCCUUCUGUAACUCUUUUAUGGUUAAUUUCUGACUUCCAGAAUGACUGGAAUUUUUUGAAAAAUCAAGAUGUGAAUGCAUAAUUUAAAUGAAAUUGUUUUCCUUGUGAAUGGGGGUUGCUUGGGCAGCCUUAAAGCUGAGCUUCCCAAGAUUUAUGUGUUACACCCUAAAAAUUAUUCUUCAAAUGCUAGUUUAGACAAAGAAGGAUAGAAAGAAGAGAAAUUUCUCACUUUGUUAGAAGACAGAAAUUGAUAUUCUUCUCAUUGCUUUUAUAUAUAAUAUUAACACCCUUGGUUUGUUGAAUUAGUUUCUGCCAAUUCAUUUCAUGAAAAUGUUUGUGAAAAAGUUAAUUACUUCAGUAUCUAUCUGUUAUGGUUUGCAGGCCAAGCAGUGGAACAUGAUGUGACACGUAACACACCAAUCAACCCUAUAACACAAACUAUUCUGUCUAUACAAAAACAUGGUAAUUUUUAUUGUGUAGAUUUUAGGGGUCAUCCUGAGGUUGUCUAAAAAACCAGAACUGGUCUCUGUUGGCAAAGAGGCUGCAAGGGUGGCUUGAGGUGAUACCAGUUGCUGUCAUGCAUGAUGACAUGCAGAUCUCUCUGUUAUGAUGAGUGAGUAUGGCUGUCAUGUUGGACUGGCAGUGUGAAAAUUCUUUCUGUACAUUCUUUCUUAAUAUACCUAAGUAAAGCUAUGCUCUCAAUUUGAUUAAUAAAUCUUU